GAUGAAGAACGCAGUGAAAUGCGAUAAGUAAUGCGAAUUGCAGAAUUUCCGUGAGUCAUCGAAUCUUUGAACGCACAUUGCGCCCACUGGUAUUCCGGUGGGCAUGCCUGUUCGAGCGUCAUUAUCCUCCCUCAAACCCCGGGUUUGGUGUUGGACCCAAGUUGUGUGAACAACUGGUCUCAAAGACAAUGACGGCGUCCGUGGGACCCUCGGUGCAACGAGCUUUUAGGAGCACGCAUCGAGUUGCAAGGACCUUCCGGGCCGGUCUCCUUUACCAUUUUACAAGGUUGACCUCGGAUCAGGUAGGAAUACCCGCUGAACUUAAGCAUAUCAAUAAGCGGAGG
This 344-nucleotide unclassified non-coding RNA is filed under the name soil metagenome. RNAcentral describes it as "partial contains 5.8S ribosomal RNA, internal transcribed spacer 2, and large subunit ribosomal RNA". The stretch from base 1 to 121 matches the Rfam family "5.8S ribosomal RNA", at positions 35 to 154 of the family's 154-position model. The record is from RNAcentral.